RNAcentral lists this ribosomal RNA (253 nucleotides) under uncultured bacterium. RNAcentral describes it as "partial 16S ribosomal RNA". It matches the Rfam family "Bacterial small subunit ribosomal RNA", at positions 524 to 776 of the family's 1533-position model. The record is from RNAcentral.
UACGUAGGGGGCAAGCGUUGUCCGGAAUCAUUGGGCGUAAAGAGCGCGUAGGCGGCCCGAUAAGUCCGCUGUGAAAGUCAAGGGCUUAACCCUUGAAUGCCGGUGGAAACUGUCGGGCUAGAGUCCGGAAGAGGCGAGUGGAAUUCCUGGUGUAGCGGUGAAAUGCGUAGAUAUCUGGAGGAACACCGGUGGCGAAGGCGGCAUCCUGGACCGGCAUUGACGCUGAGGAGCGAAAGCCAGGGGAGCAAACAGG